This 253-nucleotide ribosomal RNA is filed under the name uncultured bacterium. Its description in RNAcentral is "partial 16S ribosomal RNA". It matches the Rfam family "Bacterial small subunit ribosomal RNA", at positions 524 to 776 of the family's 1533-position model. The record is from RNAcentral.
UACGUAGGGUGCAAGCGUUAAUCGGAAUUACUGGGCGUAAAGUGUGCGCAGGCGGUUAUGCAAGACAGAUGUGAAAUCCCCGGGCUUAACCCUGGAAUUGCAUUUGUGACUGCAUGGCUAGAGUGUGUCAGAGGGGGGUAGAAUUCCACGUGUAGCAGUGAAAUGCGUAGAUAUGUGGAGGAAUACCGAUGGCGAAGGCAGCCCCCUGGGAUAACACUGACGCUCAUGCACGAAAGCGUGGGGAGCAAACAGG